This 283-nucleotide long non-coding RNA is filed under the name Lathyrus oleraceus (garden pea). RNAcentral describes it as "Pisum sativum (pea) long non-coding RNA (PSAT_LNC004014)". The record is from RNAcentral. Lineage: Eukaryota; Viridiplantae; Streptophyta; Magnoliopsida; Fabales; Fabaceae.
UUAAAUAAUUAAAUAAUUAAAAUAAAUAAAUAAAUAAAAUAUAACAAAUUAUUUUGGACUUGGGUCUCCCUCAUUCCAAGCCCAUUACCCACGAAAUUAGUCUAUAAAUACUGAAGUUUCAGUAGAGGAAAAGACUUGGAGUUUACACUGGGAGAUUCACUGGAGAAAGAAGGAAGAGAAGCAAAACACUCUGAGGUUUCCUUGGAACAAAACCUUGAGGAAAAAGAAAGAGAGAGAACAGAGAAGGACGGAUAGAAACUUUGGCAUAGGAACCCUGCCUACC